RNAcentral lists this ribosomal RNA (433 nucleotides) under uncultured bacterium. RNAcentral's name for it is "bacterial SSU rRNA". It matches the Rfam family "Bacterial small subunit ribosomal RNA", at positions 957 to 1391 of the family's 1533-position model. The record is from RNAcentral.
GAACGCGAAGAACCUUACCAGGUCUUGACAUCCCGAUGCUAUUUCUAGAGAUAGAAAGUUACUUCGGUACAUCGGUGACAGGUGGUGCAUGGUUGUCGUCAGCUCGUGUCGUGAGAUGUUGGGUUAAGUCCCGCAACGAGCGCAACCCCUAUUGUUAGUUGCCAUCAUUUAGUUGGGCACUCUAGCGAGACUGCCGGUAAUAAACCGGAGGAAGGUGGGGAUGACGUCAAAUCAUCAUGCCCCUUAUGACCUGGGCUACACACGUGCUACAAUGGCUGGUACAACGAGUCGCAAGCCGGUGACGGCAAGCUAAUCUCUUAAAGCCAGUCUCAGUUCGGAUUGUAGGCUGCAACUCGCCUACAUGAAGUCGGAAUCGCUAGUAAUCGCGGAUCAGCACGCCGCGGUGAAUACGUUCCCGGGUCUUGUACACACC